This 23-nucleotide microRNA is filed under the name Cordylochernes scorpioides. Lineage: Eukaryota; Metazoa; Arthropoda; Arachnida; Pseudoscorpiones; Chernetidae. The record is from RNAcentral.
UGACUCAAUAGUGGCCGGUACAC